GACGGUACUUGCAGAAAAAGCACCGGCUAACUAUGUGCCACCAGCCGCGGUAAUACAUAGGGUGCAAGCGUUGUCCGGAAUUAUUGGGCGUAAAGAGCUCGUAGGUGGUUCGUCACGUCGGAUGUGAAAAUCUGGGGCUUAACCCCAGACCUGCAUUCGAUACGGGCGAGCUAGAGUGUGGUAGGGGAGACUGGAAUUCCUGGUGUAGCGGUGGAAUGCGCAGAUAUCAGGAGGAACACCAAUGGCGAAGGCAGGUCUCUGGGCCAUUACUGACACUGAGGAGCGAAAGCGUGGGGAGCGAACAGGAUUACAUACCCUGGUAGUCCACGCCGUAAACGGUGGGCACUAGUUGUGGGAACCUUCCACGGUUUCUGCGACGCAACUAACGCAUUAAGUGCCCCGCCUGGGGAGUACGAUCGCAAGAUUAAAACUC
RNAcentral lists this ribosomal RNA (433 nucleotides) under uncultured bacterium. RNAcentral's name for it is "bacterial SSU rRNA". It matches the Rfam family "Bacterial small subunit ribosomal RNA", at positions 471 to 902 of the family's 1533-position model. The record is from RNAcentral.